GAUGAACGCUGGCGGCGUGCUUAACACAUGCAAGUCGAGCGAUGAAGUUUCCUUCGGGAAACGGAUUAGCGGCGGACGGGUGAGUAACACGUGGGUAACCUGCCUCAUAGAGUGGAAUAGCCUUCCGAAAGGAAGAUUAAUACCGCAUAACGUUGAAGGAUGGCAUCAUCAUUCAACCACAGGAGCAAUCCGCUAUGAGAUGAACCCGCGGCGCAUUAGCUAGUUGGUGGGGUAACGGCCUACCAAGGCGACGAUGCGUAGCCGACCUGAGAGGGUGAUCGGCCACAUUGAGACUGAGACACGGCCCAGACUCCUACGGGAGGCAGCAGUGGGGAAUAUUGCACAAUGGGGGAAACCCUGAUGCAGCAGCGCCGCGUGAGUGAUGAAGGUUUUCGAAUCGUAAAGCUCUGUCUUUGGGGAAGAUAAUGACGGUACUCAAGGAGGAAGCCACGGCUAACUACGUGCCAGCCGCCGCCGUAA
This 480-nucleotide ribosomal RNA is filed under the name uncultured bacterium. RNAcentral describes it as "partial 16S ribosomal RNA". It matches the Rfam family "Bacterial small subunit ribosomal RNA", at positions 28 to 523 of the family's 1533-position model. The record is from RNAcentral.